AGAGUGAAGGAGCAAAGGGGACUCGGCCGCCAUGUUAGGAGUACUGGGACGAUUCCGCGGAGCCGGGCAGAGGUUUUAGGGGAAUGAUUAACAAAGGCGUCCGAAGAAAUCGUUGUUGGAAGGUGACCAAGGUGGAAAGAGACGUUGCUUUGGCCCUGCAAGUAAGAAGAGAGAGGGAAUAGCCUGAAGGAGUAACACUAAAUUUAAAAUGACACUUUUUUACCAACCAGCGAAAGCAGAUGUUCAAAGGGGAUAUUGGCCAGGUGGGUUGGGGGAGAAGGAGCCAAUUCAAUGUCUAGUCUUUACUGGAAAGAAGAAACUUUACAGCGCAUUUUGAGCAAUUUAGUGCAGAGUCUCAGUGGGUCAACUGGCGGGGCACCAGAUAGUAAUGGAUUUCACAGUUAGGGCAUUGCUGGGUCUCACCUUUGUGCAGCCAAAAACUAGAGGACAGCACUGUUGUACUCUUCACAGAUGCAGCCCACUAUUCACUUGUUGGUGAUGGAG
Molecule: long non-coding RNA, 504 nt
Organism: Homo sapiens (human)
Lineage: Eukaryota; Metazoa; Chordata; Mammalia; Primates; Hominidae
Gene: RAB30-DT
Product: RAB30 divergent transcript
Source: Ensembl